CGAAUAUAAGGACAGAAAAUUACUUUCUAUUGUAUAUCCAAGCUAAGUAGCUUCCCUCCCCUCCAACGAAAUCCAUCAUUUGAGAAUAUCUGAGCUUGUUGUGACGAAUAGAAAAUAUAAGGAUAAUCAUCUACAAUUAUAAGCUUACUACAACUAAAAAUUUUAUAUACGCUAUAUGCAGUUUUAUAUAUACUUCUACCUGGAUAAUUGCUCCGUGUUUUUUUCUCUCUUAGCAAAUUAUUUAUUACCUUUGUUUUGUGGUUCUAACCACCUCAGUUAUGUUUAUACUUGUAGGUUAUAACUAUCAAUGACACACAGAAGAAUUGGUUUCGUUGGAGGAACAGGGGCCACUUGAAACAUUAUAGAAAAAUGAACUGUAGGUAUAAAUGAUAUACAAAAGAAUUUAUGACAAAAAUGCUUAUUUUUUCAGCACUACAACAAAUCACAUUUAAGUAACUCCGAUGGGAUGCAUGUUCUGAUUGUUCAAGUUUCAUUCAAUGCUUUCCUUGUUUCCAUCAACAAUAGCCAAAAGAAUAGGUUAAUCACAUGUUCAAAACAUGCUCAUACAUACAAUUUCCACAAAUUUUAAAAUCGAAGUCUUGGCAGUAAAAUAUAUCUAGCGACUUCUAACUGAAUUGGUCACGUGUAAGAUCAUAUUGGAAUCUAUCUCUCAUCUACACCCAUUUGCAAGCACGGUCACAUAGAUACAGAGGCAUUCUCAGACAUAUCUCAUCCUAAAUAAAGUAUCUAACUUUCCACUUGAUUGUGUAUAGAAUUAAAAAACUUAGUGAAUUGGCACAAUGUAUUAUUCUGGAGUUGGUUGCUUAGAUUGUUUCUCAGAUAGAAAUGAAUCUUUGACAUCAUCAUGCGAAUGAUGCAGCUAUUUUAGCAACCAUUAAGGUGUUUCUACAAUUGACCCUUUAGACUUCUCAUGACCGAUGUUCAUCAACAGGUACAUACAAUUUCAUUCUUAAGUAUCAUCUUUAAUUGACGCUGAAAUUUGUUCUAUUUGGUUUUUUCCAUUGAAUUUACUCAUCCAAACUUCAAUUUUCUUCUUCAGAAGUUGAAUAGAGUAUUCUUAUGAUCUGUCUUGCUGUUUUUGCAAUGUUGAAGAUUUACUUGUUGACAUAUCUUAGACUUGUUUCUAAAUCUCUUUUAAGGAGAAGUUCCUAUACACAUCUAGAUCUCAUUGCUUCUUCUGACACAUGAUUAUUGUUUGAGGAACUGCUGAAGGAACACUAUCAUAGUUGGCAAGUCACUGCAUUGUAAAACCGUCAAAUGAUUCUUUUCAGCAUAUCAUUCCAUCCUUUUAUUCUCCAUUUAGUCCUCCUGUAAGUUGCAUGUUGUGAAUCCAAAAAUGCGUGGAUCUUUAAAGAUAUUUUACAAAUUUAAUCUCUACACAGUUUUGAGUCCUGUUAUAAUGGUGCACAUCAGGCCAAGUAUAAUUCUCAAAUCUCGUAUACAAUUAAAUCAAAUUUAGCAAUGUCCUUAUUCUAAAUUCUAAGCUCUUUUGCUUCAGAUAAAGUAUAUCACAUAUGAAGUUUUCUGUUUCAGCUUACCUAUAAAUUAUGUAAUAUCAUUUGCAGUAAACCUUUCUCUGCCAGGUGCUAUUAUGGUCUCGUGCCUAUUGUGGAGCCUGAAAUUCUUCUGGAUGGAGACCACCCAAUUGAGAGGACACUUGAAUUAGCAGAGCGUUAGCAGAGAACAAUACUAUCUUUGAAGUCAUUCUACAUAAACCUUCCAUGGUAGCUCCAAGUGCUGAGGACAAAGAGUAGGCUUUUCCAAAUACCAUUAUCAAAGAUACACUCACCAUGCUCAAAAGGAGAGUGCCUCUGACAGUUCUAGGAAUCAUGGUAUAAAACUCAACCCCCUGUCAAUUAAGUUAAUACUGUGAAUUUGCCCCUCGGGGUAUAGUCCAGUAGUGCAAAGGAUAAGAGUGAGGUUAUCUCAAGCCUUGCUGGCAGCCGCAAUGUGGGGGUUCGAUUCUUGAGACAUGAAAUUGGACUCCUUGUAGGCACAGUGUACAGACAGUUCUUGUUCCCCGACCUGUUGGGGCAUAUUUCGCGAUUUACUUCCUUCACAAAGCCCCGGGGAG
RNAcentral lists this long non-coding RNA (2095 nucleotides) under Olea europaea subsp. europaea. Lineage: Eukaryota; Viridiplantae; Streptophyta; Magnoliopsida; Lamiales; Oleaceae. The record is from RNAcentral.